RNAcentral lists this ribosomal RNA (752 nucleotides) under uncultured bacterium. Its description in RNAcentral is "bacterial SSU rRNA". It matches the Rfam family "Bacterial small subunit ribosomal RNA", at positions 28 to 790 of the family's 1533-position model. The record is from RNAcentral.
GAUGAACGCUGGCGGCGUGCUUAACACAUGCAAGUCGAACGAUGAACCUCACUUGUGGGGGGAUUAGUGGCGAACGGGUGAGUAACACGUGAGUAACCUGCCCUUAACUCUGGGAUAAGCCUGGGAAACUGGGUCUAAUACCGGAUAUGACUCCUCAUCGCAUGGUGGGGGGUGGAAAGCUUUAUUGUGGUUUUGGAUGGACUCGCGGCCUAUCAGCUUGUUGGUGAGGUAAUGGCUCACCAAGGCGACGACGGGUAGCCGGCCUGAGAGGGUGACCGGCCACACUGGGACUGAGACACGGCCCAGACUCCUACGGGAGGCAGCAGUGGGGAAUAUUGCACAAUGGGCGAAAGCCUGAUGCAGCGACGCCGCGUGAGGGAUGACGGCCUUCGGGUUGUAAACCUCUUUCAGUAGGGAAGAAGCGAAAGUGACGGUACCUGCAGAAGAAGCGCCGGCUAACUACGUGCCAGCAGCCGCGGUAAUACGUAGGGCGCAAGCGUUAUCCGGAAUUAUUGGGCGUAAAGAGCUCGUAGGCGGUUUGUCGCGUCUGCCGUGAAAGUCCGGGGCUCAACUCCGGAUCUGCGGUGGGUACGGGCAGACUAGAGUGAUGUAGGGGAGACUGGAAUUCCUGGUGUAGCGGUGAAAUGCGCAGAUAUCAGGAGGAACACCGAUGGCGAAAGGCAGGUCUCUGGGCAUUAACUGACGCUGAGGAGCGAAAGCAUGGGGGAGCGAAACAGGAUUAGAUACCCUGG